This 445-nucleotide ribosomal RNA is filed under the name uncultured bacterium. RNAcentral describes it as "partial 16S ribosomal RNA". It matches the Rfam family "Bacterial small subunit ribosomal RNA", at positions 354 to 796 of the family's 1533-position model. The record is from RNAcentral.
GUGAGGAAUAUUGGUCAAUGGGCGCAAGCCUGAACCAGCCAUGCCGCGUGCAGGAAGACGGUCCUAUGGAUUGUAAACUGCUUUUAUUUGGGAAUAAACUCCGGUACGUGUACCGGCCUGAAGGUACCAAAUGAACAAGCACAGGCUAACUCCGUGCCAGCAGCCGCGGUAAUACGGAGGGGGCAAGCGUUAUCCGGAAUCAUUGGGUUUAAAGGGUCCGCAGGCGGUCUUAUAAGUCAGUGGGGAAAGCCUACAGCUCAACUGUAGAACUGCCAUUGAUACUGUAGGACUUGAAUUCGAUCGAAGUGGGCAGAAUGUGACAUGUAGUGGUGAAAUGCUUAGAUAUGUCACAGAACACCGAUAGCGAAGGCAGCUCACUAGGUCUGGAUUGACGCUCAGGGACGAAAGCGUGGGGAGCAAACAGGAUUAGAUACCCGGGUAGUCC